Molecule: unclassified non-coding RNA, 277 nt
Filed under: Hevea brasiliensis (rubber tree)
Lineage: Eukaryota; Viridiplantae; Streptophyta; Magnoliopsida; Malpighiales; Euphorbiaceae
Source: RNAcentral
CUCUUGCUUGUACCUCUUCAACACAUCGUCUGUCACCAUCUUCGGGGUAAUGGCGAAAGUUGUCUGCGACAAGCCUACUUGUUUGAUAAUGGUAUCGAUGAAUGCAAAAAAAUACGAUGUUGUUCUUCGAAACACCCACAUCCUUUGCAAGUUCCACCAGCCUUUAAUGGUGCUACCACAAGCUGAAGACUCCACGAUGCUGUAUACAGUCUUGGAUAUGAAAACAUAUGCAUAUGGUAGGAACCAUUUGCUUGAAACCUGAGGGAAUAAGGGAAUG